GAGCGUUUAUUUAAAAAUUUCCAGUUUCCCCCAAAGAGCUUCCCCGUUUCCCCGCUUUGCUACAGGACUCUGAUCCGUGCUCCGUGCUGUCACCUCCUUAGGCCACUGCCACCAACUGGACCUGCGAGCCCCUUCCCCAUGCCUGGCCCGUUCUGCCAAGACAUCAUUCCUCACCCAGGCCGGAGAGCAAAUGAAGGUGAAUCAGAACAGAACUCACACCUCAGACUCACAUCCUUUUGCCACUGCAAAGAUAAGCUAAGAGAUUUUUAUUGCAUUAAUAAUUAAGGGUAUACUAAUAUCUCAAAAUACUGAAUUAUUUCACACAUACGAUUACAAUAGUCAUACAACAAACAGAGUGGGGACAGGAACCAGCACGCUGGGGGGCACAUCCGUAUUGUACAUCAAAAUCAAUGGCAAAUAUUUCUCCAAUUAUUCUUAGAAAAAUACUAGACACAUUAGAAGCUGAAAAGCUUUGCUUAAAAACGACCUGUAUAUACAGGAUAAGCUUAGACCUUCAAAAACCAGGUAAAAAUUGGCAAAGUGAAACACAU
Long non-coding RNA from Lontra canadensis (Northern American river otter), 551 nucleotides. RefSeq lists it as uncharacterized. The record is from RefSeq and is a predicted model, not a curated record. The transcript has 3 exons. NCBI's taxonomy places the organism in Eukaryota, Metazoa, Chordata, Mammalia, Carnivora, Mustelidae.